UGGCACUAGAAGCCGAUGAAGGACGUUACUAACGACGAUAUGCUUUGGGUAGCUGUAAGUAAGCGUUGAUCCAGAGAUUUCCGAAUGGGGGAACCCAGCAUGAGUUAUGUCAUGUUAUCGACAUGUGAAUUCAUAGCAUGUCAGAAGGCAGACCCGGAGAACUGAAACAUCUUAGUACCCGGAGGAAGAGAAAGAAAAAUCGAUUCCCUGAGUAGCGGCGAGCGAAACGGGAAGAGCCCAAACCAACAAGCUUGCUUGUUGGGGUUGUAGGACACUCUAUACGGAGUUACAAAAGAACAUGUUAGACGAAUCAUCUGGAAAGAUGAAUCAAAGAAGGUAAUAAUCCUGUAGUCGAAAACAUAUUCUCUCUUGAGUGGAUCCUGAGUACGACGGAGCACGUGAAAUUCCGUCGGAAUCUGGGAGGACCAUCUCCUAAGGCUAAAUACUCUCUAGUGACCGAUAGUGAACCAGUACCGUGAGGGAAAGGUGAAAAGUACCCCGGAAGGGGAGUGAAAGAGAACUUGAAACCGUGUGCUUACAAGUAGUCAGAGCCCGUUAAUGGGUGAUGGCGUGCCUUUUGUAGAAUGAACCGGCGAGUUACGAUC
RNAcentral lists this ribosomal RNA (605 nucleotides) under Staphylococcus epidermidis. RNAcentral describes it as "partial 23S ribosomal RNA". It matches the Rfam family "Bacterial large subunit ribosomal RNA", at positions 34 to 635 of the family's 2925-position model. Lineage: Bacteria; Bacillati; Bacillota; Bacilli; Caryophanales; Staphylococcaceae. The record is from RNAcentral.